UUCAGUAAUUGCGCAUGAACCAGGAUAUGCUUAGCUUGACAAAUGGAGCUGCUGGCUCUGAAUUGUAUUGUGGGAAUGUAUUACCAACAGAGGUGCAGGUCACACUCCUUGGCAUUGGAAUGCAAAGUGGGUGGUAAGUUUCAUGCAAAGGUAAAUAUGCAAUUGAGACUGAUAGCGCACAAGUACCAUGAGGGACAUAUGAAAAGGACUUUGAAAAGAGAAUUAAAUGAGUUUGUAUUUGCUAAACACAAAGUAAACAGACUUGAUUUCCUCAGUGAGAUUGUAGUGCUUGCUUAACAAUGGGUUUUGGCUGCAAGUGCAAUAAUUCUUGCUUUGUGUGCCCGUUUUUAUGUGGACAUUUGAUUACCUUUGCACAUGAAUGGUAAUUUUCCUGCGGGGUGUGGAUUGCAUAUGCAUGUAAUGAUUUGCAUGUUUGUUAAAUGUGUCUGGUGUAUUUGUUUGUGUCCUUGUCCUUGAGGUUGCUUUCUCCCUUGGGCUUACAUGCCCUGGCACACACAUUCUGGCAAAAUGCUUCUGCUUGACCCGUCUUGAAAAU
Molecule: ribosomal RNA, 556 nt
Filed under: Alexandrium tamarense
Lineage: Eukaryota; Dinophyceae; Gonyaulacales; Pyrocystaceae
Description: LSU rRNA
Rfam family: Eukaryotic large subunit ribosomal RNA
Source: RNAcentral